CUGCCAGGGGAGCUCGGAAAUGCCUGUCGCGGAGCCUCGGUCCAUCCGCCCCUCCCAACCGGUCCGGCACAUCCAGGCGCACACACAUCUGUCCACAAACACACCCUCCCUCACACACACACAACUCACACACACACCAAUUCACACAUACACAACUCACACACCAACUCACACGCACACAACUCACACGCACAGCAACUCACAUACACAUCAACACACACAUACACAACUCACACACCAACUCACAUAUGUGCCAACUCACAUGCCAACUCACACACGGACUCACACACACACCAACUCACAUGCACACCAACUCACACAUACACAACUCACACACCAACUCACACAUACAUAACUCACACCAACUCACAUGCCAACUCACACAACUCAUAUGCGCUCACACAUACACAACUCACACACCAACUCACAUAUGUGCCAACUCACAUGCCAACUCACACACGAACUCACACACCAACUCACAUGCACACCAACUCACACAUACACAAUUCACACACCAACUCACACAUACACAAUUCACACACCAACUCAUACAUAAUUCACACCAACUCACAUGCCAACUCACACACCAACUCAACUCACAUGUACACCAAUACACACACAUACACAAGUCACUUACACACCAACUCACAUACACACCAACUCACACAUACACAACUCACACCAACUCUCAUACACACCAACUCACACAUACACAACUCACAUCAACUCGCAUACACACCAACUCACACAUCUCACAUACACACCAACUCACACGCAUACCAACUCACACAUACACAAGUCACUCACACCAACACACCAACUCACACAUACACAACUCACACUAACACACACCAACUCACAUACACAACUCAUACCAACACACACACCAACUCACACAUAUACAACUCACACUAACACACACCAACUCACACACACCAACUCGCAUGCACACCAACACACACUAACUCAAAUACACACCAACUCACACUCACACCCUUACACAUACACAACUCACACACCAACUCACACACACACCCUCACCCCAACACAACCUCACACAUAUACAACACACACACCAACUCACACCCACACACUUUCACACACACCCUCACACACCCUCACACACACCAACUCCCAUGCACACAUCCUCCCUCAUACACAACUCACAGACCCAUGCACACACCCUUGCCCCCACCCAACACAACCUCACAUAUACACAACUCACACACCAACUCACAUGCACACACCCUCACUCCCAACGCAACCUCACAACUCACACACACCAACUCACACACCCUCACA
This 1302-nucleotide long non-coding RNA is filed under the name Homo sapiens (human). RNAcentral describes it as "non-protein coding lnc-IER5L-1:3". The record is from RNAcentral. Lineage: Eukaryota; Metazoa; Chordata; Mammalia; Primates; Hominidae.